UGAUCAUCCACGAGCGCCGUGCAGGGUCGCUGAGAACAACAGGAAGUGCAGAUGCCGGAGAAUUCGAGACAACACGGUGCAGAGCUGGAUGAACAUAGCAGGUCAAGCAGCAUCAGAGGAGCAGGAAAGCUGGCGUUUCGGGUCUCGAUCCUUCGCUGAGACCAAGAUUUGUGCAAUUGAGGAUUCGAAGCCAGGUCCCCAGGAUGUUAUCUGGGUCUCUGGAUAAAUAAUCUAGCGAUAAUACUGCUGCCGAUUUUAUCACCUGCGGAGGAUGGUCUAUGGCAUUCUGCAGGAGCCAUGAGACUUCCAGGCGUCAGAGUCAGUGUCGAGUACUCCCAGAUUUCUACAAUUUUACUUCUGCGCUGUUCUUAGUCUUUCAGCGGGAUUGAAAGGUUGAGUUACAGAUCUAUACAAUGCCUGUCCUUCCCCCCUGGCUGUCCCACCUCUCUUUCCGUAAUUUUGUGCAAACAGACUGGAUUGCUUACCUGGAUGAUAUUUAUUUGUGAAUGAAUUUGUUCUAAUGAUGAUCUAGCAUAUUCCCCAAGUGUCGCUCCACAAAUGUCCAGAGGAUUUCUCAGUUGCACAAUCUGUUUUCUUCUGGUUUCUCACUCACUGCACUUACUUUCUGUUUGAAAGCUUAGUCUGCAAUUUGGAGAAUUCAAACUGUUCCACAUCCAGGUCUGACAGUCAUUUUGUUUAUCACAACCCAAUUAUCUCAGUAUUUUGAACAUUGAAGGAAAAAGCAGCACUCACACUUUGGAGAAAUGCAAAUGGUUUGUGUGUCAAAGAGUCUGUGAAGAUUCAUCUGAAAUGUCCUAACACCAGCGCAGUGACAGUGGGGAGAGACUGUGGAAAUGGGAAGAUUGCAGGAAGGAAUUUCUUCAUCCAUCCCAGCUAGAAACUGACCACCAGUGUCACACUGGAGAGAGACCAUUCACCUGCUCUGAUUAUGGAAUGGGAUUCGCUCAGUCAUCUAACCUGCUUAAACACCAGGGAGCUCUCACUGGAGAGAAACCAUUUACUUGCUCGGAAUGUGGGAAAGCAUUCACUCAGACAACUUAACUGCUGAUACACGCGCAAAUUCACACUGGAGAGAGACCAUUGGCCUGUUGUGUGUGGGAAAGGCUUUGCUGACUUGAAUUCCCCUCUGACACACCAGCAAGUUCACUCUGGGGAGAGACCAUUCAUGAGCUCUGAGUGUGGGAAAGCAUCCAAACAGUGGUUCACAAAGAAGCACAAUUGAAGGAUUUUGCUCUCACUCUCAUGAUCAAAUGAACCAUAGUUUUGGGCUGUUUGUACUGAUGUUACUGAUCCUGCUCAAUUAAAAGUACUGGUAUUGUGGAUAAAAUGUUAAUAACAGUUGUAUAUCUGUCAGGUAGAGCUUGGAAAUAGUCACGUCAUCACGACACAUCGACACAUUCACACUGACGAAAGACUAUCCACCUGCACAGCAUGUGAAAAGGGGUUUCCUGGUUCAUCAGGACUGGUUAACUACCAGCCAAUUUGAGUAACUUUUUUUUUAUUCUGCUGUUAGCUGUCUCCAAACCAGGUAUUUUUGGGCUUGUUUCUGGAGACCACAGAAUCCCUUCAGUGUGGAAGCAGACGAUUUGGCCCAUCAAGUUCACACUGAACCUAUGAAGAGUGUCCUACCCAGACCCUGUCUGCGUUGGUGUCCUCCCACAGUCCAUUAAAUGUGCAAAAUAGGUCGAUUGACUAUGCUCAAUUACCCUUAGUGUCUUGUGUGCAAAAUGCAAGGACAGAGUAGGGUGUGAGACUGGGUGGGAUGGUCUUUGGAGGAUUUGUGUGGACUCAAGGGACUGAAUGGCCAUCUUCCACACUGUAGAAAUUCCACACUGUAGGAAUUCUAUGUUGAUCUCGAUGGCCCUUUAUUUGUUAGUUAUGCCUGGUCAAUAUGUCUGCACACCUUUUACAAUUACGGAUCCUAUUGCUCUCCACAGACACAUUUCAAAUUUUAAUAGAUAUUUGUCGAUUGGAAAUGAUGUAAUGUUUUCUUUUGAUUUUUGGCCACAAAAUGAAAGUUUUAAAUCUAAACAAAAGAUUGGGAUGAGUCCUGUACUAUAUCCUGAUUGCAUUUUCCCAAUAGGCUAUGAAACCUGGUGCCUACUGUGACUCUGUUCGAGGCGGGGUGGGAAAGAUCUUCAGAUCUUUACCUGUAGUCCAUAGCAGUGAUGGAUCUCAUGAUGAAUACCGAUACAGUAGGCAUCACACAAUGUCUUGGUUUAUUUUCUAUUUAGUCUGCUGUCCUUUACUCCACAGAGACCGAGAUAAUGGUCUGCGGGCCGAGGUUUGAAUCCCACCAUUCCAGAUGGUGGAAUUUGAGUUUUUUUUUUAAAAAAUCUGGAAAUAAGAACCUAAUGAUGACUGUGAAUCCAUUGUCAUUGUUGGAAAAACCUAUGUCCUUUAGGGAAGGAAACUUCCAAUGUUAUCCAGUGAUAUCAAGAUCCCAUGAAUGAAUUUUUUAAAAAAUGUCCUGCAAAUACAUUUAUCUCUGUCUUAACUUAUUUUACAACCGACUGUUCAAACUGGUUGAUGGUCACUUUCCCCUUUGAUCAAGUUGUGUCCAUUUCAUGGUUGAAACAAAAAAAAAUGCAUGAAUGGAACCAUAGUUGUUCUUUGUAGGAACAAUACAUGCUCUGACAUGUUUGAAAAAGAAAACUCAUCUCACUUAUGAGCCAGAUAUCAAAGUUGACCAGAUCCUGAUGCUGUGUGAAAUUCUUCACUGUCUUAUCUACUUGUGUUGCUGUUUCAGGGAGCUAUGGACUUGAACCUCCCAAACUCCUGAACACCUUGAGAAUUUCAUCAAACUGACCCCCAGUGGCAGGAAUGGACAGGGUCAGCUUGGAAUGAUGAACAUAAUUCAGGCUCAACAAAUCUACUGGACCAUUUUGAGAAUGUAAUUAGUAGUGAGUGUGGCCACCUCUCUGUACUGUAGUGAUACAGAUCCCCUGAUCCUGCUUGCCCCAAAUGGCUGAUAUUAAAU
This is a long non-coding RNA of Stegostoma tigrinum, 3001 nucleotides long. RefSeq lists it as uncharacterized. The record is from RefSeq and is a predicted model, not a curated record. Lineage: Eukaryota; Metazoa; Chordata; Chondrichthyes; Orectolobiformes; Stegostomatidae. The transcript has 3 exons.